Molecule: long non-coding RNA, 1707 nt
Filed under: Phasianus colchicus (ring-necked pheasant)
Lineage: Eukaryota; Metazoa; Chordata; Aves; Galliformes; Phasianidae
Description: lncRNA (ENSPCLG00000016327.1)
Source: RNAcentral
UUUAUGGGGUCUGUGGGGACUGUAUGGGAUUUUAUGGGGUUUUGUGGGGUCUAGAUGGGAUUUUAUGGGGUUUUGGGGUCUGCAUGGGGUCUGGAUGGGGUUUUGGGGUCUGGAUGGGGUCUGGAUGGGAUUUUUUGGGGUUUGUGGGGUCUGUAUGGGAUUUUAUGGGGUCUGGAUGGGAUUUAUUUGGUCUGUGGGGUCUGUAUGGGAUUUUAUGGGAUUUUAUGGGGUCUGUAUGGGAUUUAUGGGGUCUGUAUGGGAUUUUAUGGGGUCUGUAUGGGAUUUAUGGGGUUUUAUGGGGGCUGUAUGGGAUUUUAUGGGGUCUGUAUGGGAUUUAUGGGGUUUUAUGGGGGGCUGUAUGGGGUUUUGUGGGGUCUGUAUGGGAUUUUAUGGGGUUUUGGGGUCUGUAUGGGAUUUUAUGGGGCUUGGGGGUCUGUGGGGUCUGGAUGGGGUUUGAAUGGGAUUUUAUGGGGUCUGUGGGGUCUGUAUGGGGUUUGUGGGGUCUGGAUGGGAUUUUAUGGGAUUUAUGGGGUCUGUGGGGACUGUAUGGGAUUUUAUGGGGUUUUGUGGGGUCUAGAUGGGAUUUUAUGGGGUCUGUGGGGUCUGUAUGGGGUUUUGGGGUCUGUAUGGGAUUUUAUGGGAUUUAUGGGGUCUGUGGGGUCUAUAUGGGAUUUAUGGGGUUUUAUGGGGUCUGUAUGGGAUUUUAUGGGGUUUUGGGGUCUGUAUGAGAUUUUAUGGGGUCUGUGGGGUCUGGAUGGGAUUUUAUGGGAUUUAUGGGGUCUGUAUGGCAUUUUAUGGGGUUNNNNNNNNNNNNNNNNNNNNNNNNNNNNNNNNNNNNNNNNNNNNNNNNNNNNNNNNNNNNNNUCUGGAUGGGAUUUUAUGGGAUUUAUGGGGUCUGUGGGAUCUGGAUGGGAUUUUAUGGGGGCUGUGGGGUUUGGAUGGGAUUUUAUGGGGUUUUGGGGUCUGUAUGGGGUUUUGGGGUCUGUAUGAGGUUUGUAUGUGAUUUUAUGGGGUUUGUGGGGUCUGGAUGGGAUUUGUGGGGUUUGUAUGGGAUUUAUUGGUCUGUAUGGGGUCUGUAUGGGGUUUAUAGGUUCUGUAUGGGAUUUUAUGGGGUUUUGGCGUCUAUAUGGUGUCUGUGUGGGGUUUGUGGGGUCUGUAUGGGAUUUUAUGGGAUUUAUGGGGUCUGUGGGGUCUGGAUGGGAUUUAUGGGGUUUUGUGGGGUCUAGUUGGGAUUUUAUGGGGUUUGUGGGGUCUGUAUGGGGUUUUGGGGUCUGUAUGGGAUUUUAUGGGAUUUAUGGGGUUUGUGGGGUCUGUAUGGGAUUUUAUGGGGGCUGUGGGGUUUGGAUGGGAUUUUAUGGGGUCUGUGGAGUCUGUAUGGGGUUUUGGGGUCUGUAUGAGGUUUGUAUGUGAUUUUAUGGGGUUUGUGGGGUCUGGAUGGGAUUUGUGGGGUUUGUAUGGGAUUUAUUGGUCUGUAUGGGGUCUGUAUGUGGUUUAUAGGUUCUGUAUGGGAUUUUAUGGGGUUUUGCGGUCUAUAUGGGGUCUGUGUGGGGUUUGUGGUGUCUAUAUGGGAUUUUAUGGGGUUUUGUGGGGUUUUGGGGGUCUGUAUGGGAUUUUAUGGGGUUUGUAGGGUCUGUAUGGGAUUUUCUGGGGUUUUGGGGUCUGUAUGGUGUCUGUACGGGGUUUGUGGGGUUUGUGGGGUCUGUAUGG